GACGAACGCUGGCUGCGUGCUUAACACAUGCAAGUCGAACGGAGUGGCGAACGGGUGAGUAACACGUGGGUGAUCUGCCUUGCACUUCGGGAUAACCUUGUGAAACUGGGUCUAAUACCGGAUAGUGCAAGAUGAGCUCGCGGCCUAUCAGCUUUAUGGUGGGGUAAUGGCCUACCAAGGCGUCGACGGGUAGCAGGCCUGCGAGGGUGUACGGCCACAUUGGGACUGAGAUAGGGGCAAGAGGGAAACGGGAGGAAGGAGUGGAGAAUAGUGCACAAAGGGCGGAAGGAUGAAGGAGGGACGGAGGGUGGGGGAGGAAGGCCUUCGGGUUGUAAACUCCUUAGGACAGGGACGCGGUACCUGUAUAAGAAGCACCGGCUAACUACGUGCCAGCAGCCGCGGUAAUAC
Molecule: ribosomal RNA, 408 nt
Filed under: uncultured bacterium
Lineage: Bacteria
Description: partial 16S ribosomal RNA
Rfam family: Bacterial small subunit ribosomal RNA
Source: RNAcentral